Long non-coding RNA from Clupea harengus (Atlantic herring), 651 nucleotides. Lineage: Eukaryota; Metazoa; Chordata; Actinopteri; Clupeiformes; Clupeidae. The record is from Ensembl.
GUGUGUGACUUUAUAAAACUGUAACAGGACGCUACGGAGCGUGAACCUCCACAAGAUGUGGAAAAACAUGCGAGGUGUCAUGCCAGUGAACCUAGCGAUGAACUAUCCUAGCUAUCUAUAGCUUAGGGAACCAUCUUGCAGUCGCUAGUGUGUGUUAAACCACUUAAGGUUAUUUAACUAUCCUAGCUAUCUGUAGCUUAGGGAACCAUCUUGCUGUCGCUAGUGUGUGUUAAACCACUUAAGGUUAUUUAAUAGUUUCCUUAGCUAGCUAGCCAAUUAGCUUGCAUAGCAACUAGGCACCAAAGUAAAAUUUCUCAAAAUCAGUUGAGAAAGAGAAAAUCUAAAAUACAGUCUUCAAAGGGACCACUUGAGGAUGAUGUUAAAUGGCUUCACAUAGACAUUAAACAAUCCUGCGUGAAAUAAUGGGACAUCAGUGGAGCAAGGGCUUACUCUGAUACCAAUGUAGUGAAAUAUCAGUGGAGUAAGGGCUUACUCUGAUACCAAUGUAGUGAAAUAUCAGUGGAGCAAGGGCUUACUCUGAUACCAAUGUAGUGAAAUAUCAGUGGAGUAAGGGCUUACUCUGAUACCAAUGUAGUGAAAUAUCAGUGGAGUAAGGGCUUACUCUGAUACCAAUGUAGUGACUGAAUGGGG